UACGUAGGGUGCAAGCGUUGUCCGGAAUUAUUGGGCGUAAAGAGCUCGUAGGCGGUCAGUCGCGUCUGCUGUGAAAACUCGGGGCUUAACCCCGGGCCUGCAGUGGGUACGGGCUGACUAGAGUGCGGUAGGGGAGACUGGAAUUCCUGGUGUAGCGGUGAAAUGCGCAGAUAUCAGGAGGAACACCGGUGGCGAAGGCGGGUCUCUGGGCAACUACUGACGCUGAGGAGCGAAAGCGUGGGGAGCGAACAGG
This 253-nucleotide ribosomal RNA is filed under the name uncultured bacterium. Its description in RNAcentral is "partial 16S ribosomal RNA". It matches the Rfam family "Bacterial small subunit ribosomal RNA", at positions 524 to 776 of the family's 1533-position model. The record is from RNAcentral.